UACGGAGGGGGCUAGCGUUGUUCGGAAUUACUGGGCGUAAAGCGCACGUAGGCGGACUGUUAAGUCGGGGGUGAAAUCCUGGGGCUCAACCUCAGAAUUGCCUCCGAUACUGGCAGUCUCGAGUGCGGGAGAGGUGAGUGGAAUUCCCAGUGUAGAGGUGAAAUUCGUAGAUAUUGGGAAGAACACCAGUGGCGAAGGCGGCUCACUGGCCCGUAACUGACGCUGAGGUGCAAAAGCGUGGGGAGCAAACAGG
Molecule: ribosomal RNA, 253 nt
Filed under: uncultured bacterium
Lineage: Bacteria
Description: partial 16S ribosomal RNA
Rfam family: Bacterial small subunit ribosomal RNA
Source: RNAcentral